GUAAAGGCUGCACGAAGAAGCCCAGAAGUGUUGAUUGUUAUAAUGCUGUUUCAUGUACACCAUGAGGAUUAUCAUAUUAUUAUAUACAUAAUUAUGCAUAAUUAAUCCUCAGCUAUUCAAGAGAGUUUUCACUAGAUACUAUGUAUUUAUAGACAUACAUUCCUAUUAAUAGGUCAAAUUAUGCCAUGAUUUUUAAGCAUUGUCAUCUCUAGUAUCCAAGGCCUUCGUCCUGUGAGCAAGCCAUAUCAGAUGCUCUCAGCACACACAAAAAAGCCUCUUAGCUGAUUCAUGUGAGGACUUGAAAUUUAGCUCACAGAAUUUUCUUAGAAACUGUUAGAAGCUGGAAUUAAAUAGAAAAUGGCUUUCUGCCACUAUGUGGAACACUGAAUUUUGAGCUUUGAAAGAACCCGCACCUUGAUAUGACCUUCUUCACUAGAUAAGACUUCUAAAGCAUGUUAUGUCAGGAUCACUUGCUGUGGUGUUGACGGAAUUACUCUUGAAUGAGUCUCUAUUUUAUGGCUCUGUCAUUCAGUCUGUGCAUGAAAUGUUUUAACUCAUAGCCUUGUAGGGAUCUUACUGCCAUGCACAACAGAUUGUGAAUAAAAGAGAAAAAAAAAGGCCAGGAAAAUAGGACAGUGGGUGAUAUUCCUAUUGGAAAUUCUGAUAUCUACCUGGUAUGUCAACUCCUAAUAAGCUGAAAUAACUACUGAUGAUCAAGAAAAUGAAUUAUCUAUCAUCUAUCUAUCUAUCUAUCUAUCUAUCUAUCUAUCUAUCUAUCAUCUAUCACCUGUCUAUAAUCUAUCAUCCAUCAUCUAUUAUCUGUCUGUCAUCUAUCUACCUAUCUAUCUCAAUCAUUUAUCUAUAUGUUACUUUUGACAUAUGAUAUAGCCACAAGCUGUCUUUGAACUUUUGGUGUCGCUCAGGCAGACUUUGGACUUGUAAUCCACCCACUAGGAUUAUAGCUGUGUGUACUCUGUGUUUUAAAAUGGCCCUAGGUUUCUACAAGUCUAUCCUUCUAGAGGAGUCUGGCUCAGCCAAAUGCUGUGCCUCUUAAUAAAAGAGGGGAAAGUGCAACUUUAAGCAAGACUGGUGGGCUUAACUUAAUUUUGAUCCUUCAUCAUCACCUGCUGCUGGGUAUCCUUCUUAGCAAGAUGAGAGCAAAACAAAUUUUAAAAACUUCCUUCUGGUUUCCCUGUAGAUUUAGUAAGAUGUAGAUGCUUUUUAUGCAGAACCUGCCUCAUCACAAAAUACUGAAAAUUCAGUUUCCUGCCAUCACAAGGAGUAUACAGGACUCACUUUGGCUUAGAAGAUAAUGACAUACAUUUAAAACAGGGCAGAAUGUGGGCUGGUGAGAUGGUUUAGCCGUCAAGGGCACUUGCGGUUCUUACAGAGGGCCUGAGUUGUGUGUCCAACACCUGUAACUUGGCUUCUAAGCAUCUGGAAGUUUGUUCUAGGAGAUCUGAUUUCCUCUUCUCAUCUCUUCUCACACACUCAUACAGGCAAAUCACUCAGAGAAUAAAUGUGUAAAAUAUAAAAUAAACGGACUAUUUUAUACGUGAAUGAUUAUAAUAGCCGCUAAAGCAUGUGAGAACGCCUUACAUCAGAAAUGCGUCAAGGGCAGAGUUGUCCAAUUAAGGCCAAGGACAAAUCAAGAAGAGAAGAUGGUGAGACAAGAGACAGACCAUGAUGAAAACAAACAAACAAACAAACAAACAAACCAAAUGCCUAUCCACGUUUAAAACUCUAAACCUCACAGAGAACCUUGAUGGGAUGUCAACUUGCUGGCAAGACAGGCAAGAAGUUCAUGCUCUCUUUUACUUAAAAAAAUAAAAAUAAAAAAUUAAAUCAGGAAGAGACAGAAAAAAAGAAAAAGGCACUAAUUGCCAAGGCAGUGAAAAAUUCCUAAAUCAUAUUCUGGAUUAAACUUAAUUAUAUAUAAAGAAAUUUAGGGGAAGAGUUUAAGAAAAAAAUUCUUUAUUAAGGAAAGAUUGAAUUUAAAUUUUAAAAAAUCUCUGUUGGAAUUAAAAAAAAACUUUCAAAACCAACAGACAAAAAAGUAAACAACAACAACUGGAUAACAUGGUCCAUAUAACAAACUAGUUUUUUUUUUUAGUUCAAGCAAAUAUGAGGGAAUAUUUCAAAGAAAAAUGAUCAUGCUACAUCACAAUGAAUGUGAGGGCUGGAAGCAGCCCUGUGGGGACAACAAUGCCACAAUGCUUAGAGACGACAGGAGCAAAGAAAGGGAGUUGUAAUAUGUGCCGUCUACACAAGAAUGUCUGGAGACCACUGAUCAUGGUGUAUGAAUGCAAACAACAUGAGAAAAGUUGUUAUUAACUAAAGCAGUCAACAAUGAAAUACUCAACAGAAUUUCAAGCACCCAAAAUAAACACAUAGUCUUCAUUUUAUGAUCCGUAAGAAAAUUCACCUCAACGAUAAGCUCCUGGACUCAAAGCAGAAAACACACAUGCAUC
This 2471-nucleotide long non-coding RNA is filed under the name Mus musculus (house mouse). RNAcentral describes it as "long non-coding RNA chr15:92080507-92082978". Lineage: Eukaryota; Metazoa; Chordata; Mammalia; Rodentia; Muridae. The record is from RNAcentral.